GGUCCAGACUCCUACGGGAGGCAGCAGUGGGGAAUAUUGCACAAUGGGGGAAACCCUGAUGCAGCGACGCCGCGUGAGUGAAGAAGUAUCUCGGUAUGUAAAGCUCUAUCAGCAGGGAAGAAAAUGACGGUACCUGACUAAGAAGCCCCGGCUAACUACGUGCCAGCAGCCGCGGUAAUACGUAGGUGGCAAGCGUUGUCCGGAUUUACUGGGUGUAAAGGGCGUGCAGCCGGGCCGACAAGUCAGAUGUGAAAUCCGCGGGCUUAACCCGCGAACUGCAUUUGAAACUAUAGGUCUUGAGUGCCGGAGAGGUAAUCGGAAUUCCUUGUGUAGCGGUGAAAUGCGUAGAUAUAAGGAAGAACACCAGUGGCGAAGGCGGAUUACUGGACGGUAACUGACGGUGAGGCGCGAAAGCGUGGGGAGCAAACAGGAUUAGAUACCCGGGUAGC
This 449-nucleotide ribosomal RNA is filed under the name uncultured bacterium. RNAcentral's name for it is "bacterial SSU rRNA". It matches the Rfam family "Bacterial small subunit ribosomal RNA", at positions 328 to 794 of the family's 1533-position model. The record is from RNAcentral.